CUGGAACUAAAUCAUAAGUUGACGCUAUGAAGUUACAACUAGUUAUUGGGGAAACGGUCCUAAGCUAAGAACAGCUCCAUUUUUCAGUGGAUCUGUGGCUUUUGCAAGUUUGUUGAUAAUUCAUGCAGAACUUCGGCGUAUCGUAGCGUAAAGAGAUCCCGCUGCUGGCUCUGGAGCGAGUUAAUAUGGCCGGGACAUCACUUGUACUUAUGGCAGGGACUUGCCCUUUUCCUUCGCUCUACCCCUUAAUCUAUGUAACGUGUACCGAGGAGACUGUUCUGUAUCCUCUGCCUAGUUUAACAAAGAUCAGGCUGUCGGCAACACUCGACCCCUGCACCCUUCCUGCCUGGUCCCCGCCUGCCCAAGAAUCCCUUCCCCUCCCCUAAAAACCCCCGCCCCCUGUUCCCCCCCCACACACACGUCCACACCUUACCUCCCCAGGUCCCCCCCCUGGCCUCUACCCUGGACUUCAUCUGGGCAUCAUGUCAGUUGGAAGUUGCGGCUCUGUACUGGCCGGUGGAGUGCCGUCACGAGGGCCUUAUUGAGCAUCAGGCACUACCCAACCAGCACUACCCUUCAGUGAGUGAGUUCAGCUGUCCGCAGAGCUGGCGGGUCUGGUCUGGUCUGGUCUGGUGCCGUGCGACUGGAGGGACGUGGAGUGGAGAGGAGGUUGGGGUGGCGGGACGCCCGAGGAAGGAGGCGAGGGAGAAGCGGUGGCGAGGUGUGACGGCCUUCCGCCGCCUUCGUCCACAUCGCUCGGGAGGAUAAGGAGAAGGCAAAUUUUGACUUAGUCAAGGACGGGACUUCAACCCCUGGCCUGGACGGCCCCGGACGGUGCUGCUGAGACCCCUACGGAGAAAUCACAUAUGUGCGAGAACGAGGUCUAAUUCCUUAAUCCAGUCCUCACGCUUUACCCCCUUUCGCAUUAUCUCUAUACUUCUUCUCCUACAGUGUUGGUCUUGUCUUGGAGUAUCCGUCCAUGGUUUUUUCUUUUCGUCAAUCGUCUGUGCUUCAUCGUACCUACCCCCUUCGGCCCCGUCCUGCACACACGCCCUCUCUCCCCCCCCGUCGCCCACUAGGACCAUUUGCCGAUUGGUGCCGUGCUACGGCUGAAGCAUUUCUACGUGCCAUCGUAUGGCGACGUGCACCCGCUGCUGCCGCCGCCGUCAGGGGCCCAGCCCGAUGCGACUCAGGAAUACAGCAGCGGCCCAGAGAGUGACGUGUCUGAGCUGGGGCUGCGGCUGGGGCUGCGGCUGGCGGGACAUGGGGCAGCAGGGUCCGAUCUCACGGCGCCGGGGCAAUCCAACCAAAACCGCCCCGGACCUGCGCGCCUGAGCAAAGCCACCUAGGACCCGGAGGGCGAGGAGGAUCACCGCGAGGGAUUCAUGAGCCGCGGCACGGUCCAGCACAUUCACACAUAUGCAGACCACUGCAUGUCGCCAAUAUGACAUCAUCUCGUUCCACACAUGAGAUGAGGCGCGCUUCCAGGUAGCUUAAUUUUUCCUUGUUCGGUCCUUUUGGUGGUCCUUGCCCUUUUGGUGGUUCUUGGGGUACCUGAACGCGUGCAGGGGGGGGAGGUGCAGAGGGAGGAAGGAAGGGUGGUUAAGGUUAAGAAGAGGAAGGGUUUUCAAGGGGAAGGGAGGUGGGGGGGGUCUGGGGGGAGAAGAAGGUUAUGGCCGGCUCAGACAAGACGAGACUAGGGAAAGGAGGGUAGGGGCAUUGGUAGUUCGUGGUAAAAGUGUUCAGGUGAAGGAUGGUGGAUACGGCGCGAGCGAGGCGCUGCAGCGUGGCUCCUGCAAUCAGUAAGAAUUUGGAGGUGCAUGAGGGCUGCCACAGGUGUGUGAAGAAAGCCGGCGAAUCGAACAUUGGUCCAGACGUGUGAGCUGCUGAGCUGGUGAGGUCUGUUGGGAAGAGAGAAGAGCGUUAGAAGGCAGAGCAGGUGGCGAGGGUGGUUUUGAGCGUCCGGCAUCAGGGAUAAGGAACGACAUUGUAGUGUGGUAUGGUGUGUGCGAGUGUCAUUAGCGCGGGAGGCUGGGGGGAAUGAGCAGGGGGUGAAGGACAGGGAUGUUUCCAAUUUAUAUCUUUUUGGUUAUCCGUUUCCCUGAGUGUGACGCCAAACUGAGCUCAAAGCAGGUGAGAUCGGCCUUGGUUAGGCGUUCGGCAGGUGAGAUCGGCCUUGGUUAGGCGUUCGGUGUGGAUUUCGACAUCAAGGUCCCUUCACUUUGACACGAUUAAGCACGGUUAACUGGUUCUUCAGGGUCUAGCAGGAGCACAAAAUCCUCCAUGUGUCCCAGCCCGUUAUAUUUUACACAUUCCAAAGUUGCCGGGAACCUCGCGGACCUCGGGAACCUCGAAAAACUCGAAAACCUCGGGAACCUCGAAAACCUCGGGAACCUCGAAAACCUCGGGAACCUCGCGGACCUCGAAAACCUCGGAACCCUCGCGGACCUCGGGAACCUCGGAAACCUCGAGAACCUUGAGAGCCUAGGAACCUCGAAAACCUCGAGAACUGCAAAAAUGCCGUACUUCAUUUUCAGGAAUAUUAUAAUGUGUUAAUGGCUUCAGGAGCUUCCAACAUGUUUGCCUUGAAAUCUUAGGUUACAUUAUCUUGACGUCUGAUUAAGCUGCCCGCUCUCUACUGUACAAGACUGUGCAUUACCUCACCGUGCGUGUUUGAACUUAACAUUAGAUCUACCAUAAUGAGUUCUGAUAUGGCUAGAAUGCAGAUCGGGGUGGACGUGAACCCGGCAGAUGUUAACCUUGCCAUUCAGCACCACGACAAACAGAUAUUCAUCAAGUACCGCCCGCUACUUGUCAAGAUUUAUGGUGCAAGCAAUGAUGGCACGCCAGCCGGUGAAUUCUCAGGUUUUUUGUAUAGUCAAGCUGCCGAGAUCAUUGUUACUGCCGGCCACAUCGUCGGCUUCAGUGGAGUGGGGCCCCAGGGAAGGGGGCCACCUGCAGAGAAGUUCAGGGCGCGCUACGAGGACGGCUUUGAGGAGGAUGUGAUGCUAGUGAACCAUGUGCCCAACAAUGUCCCGGACAUUGCGAUACUGCGUGGCUCCCGGCGUGCACCUCUCCCGUUGCUCGGUGAUCUGUGCAGCACUGGUGAUAUUGUUUACGCCUUCGGCUUUUCGACUUUCUUUCCUAGCCCUAGCUUUAGCAAGGGCAUGGUGUCAUCCACAAGAGUGGGCCAGGUGGCCAUCACCGCUCAUGCAGACAACGGCUACUCAGGAGGCCCUGUCCUGGACUGCCGUGGACAACUGGUGGGCCUUAUUAAGGGGUCCAUCGGUACCACAAUCAUCCAGGUUGGCAUUACCCCAGCUGUGGAUCUGCAUACUGUUUUGUUGCAGUGGGGGCAGCCUGGCCUGGCCAACAGAUAACCUGUGCUAACCUAUGGUCAGCUGGGAUGCUGAACUCGCAACCAGCAUAUGACAGGCUUGCAGGGGGUCGUGGGGUGCUUUCCAUUGCUGAAUGGGUCAUGGUCACUAGUGUACAAUUGCUUGGUCAGGAUAUCAUGCUGCACUGGUACUGUGCAGUCCUCCUGUUAUGCCAAGCAUACUUGUGUGUUAGCUGAAGGUGCAGUUCAUGGGGACAGAGCAUGUCAGACAUAUGUGGGUUGGACAGUUGGAUAGGUGCAAUGAGUCAUGAUGCAGACUGAAGAGGAUCAUAGGUGCCAAAGGCGGUUGUGGGGGUGCUGAAGGCGGUUGUGGGGUGCCAAGGGGAUCAUAGGGUGCCAAGGGGGUUGAGGGGUGUCAAAAAGGGGACCAUGAUGGAUCACAGGACCACACAAAAUGCCAAUGAUUCAAACUGUGACCUAAGGUGUGGGUUGGAGAGGAGAGCUUUUGAUAUGCAUGUGGAUGGCUCAGGUGGGAAAACACAUUGAGACGUUGCAAAGCAAUUCAGAUAUGUGGUUGACAUUUAUUGACAUUGAAGUCCUGUUGGGCAGGGCCCCAGUAUGAAGCACCCACAGGAGCCACACCCUGUAGGAUUGUCCAUGUAGCCUUGUGGCUGUGUGUGGUGUGUGUAACGGAUAAGACAUGAUAUUUCGCCUGGCUGAACAUGUUAUUGGUAGUAUACUGUAGUCUUUAUUGACAGGUAUCUGGUACUGAGAGGUUUGGUACUUUCUCCAACUUGAGUAUUGUCAGACAGGGGAUUUGACCCCAGGUCUAUGUGAGACAAGUGGGAAUCUUACCCCGCAACUUGAUGCAUAUCUGGGGGUUAAUGCUGGACGUUUGGGCAUCGUCAGGAUGGCGCCGUGCGUGUUGAAGGGUGGUCCUAUCCCCACCUUGACCGUGCCUCGACCUUGCCUCGGCCUGAUACUCGGCUGCGUCUCUCGGACGUUUCCUCGGGUCCAGGGACGGUGGAUGAACACAAGGCAAGAGUUGAGUAUGCUUUUCUAUCUCAUCUUUGUAUGGAUCGGUAUUCCUUAGUAGGAAUCUCCUAGUGUGUCGAGCUAGGCUGUGAGGGUGCCCUAUGGCAGUCCGGAGACGUGUAACUCGUCAGGCUCAGUAGCUAGGGGGCAGUUGUCUGGACAGGUUACUCGCCAGAAGCUUGGUAAAUGUGCAACCUUGAAAGUAUGAUAUUUAGGCACAGAUAUGCCCGCAGAGUGUGUCAAAAGUUAUGAUGAUGUUAGUUAAAAUGUAUGGCAGCCAAUA
This 4655-nucleotide long non-coding RNA is filed under the name Volvox carteri. RNAcentral's name for it is "long non-coding RNA (VCAR_LNC002103)". The record is from RNAcentral. Lineage: Eukaryota; Viridiplantae; Chlorophyta; Chlorophyceae; Chlamydomonadales; Volvocaceae.